RNAcentral lists this ribosomal RNA (468 nucleotides) under uncultured bacterium. RNAcentral describes it as "partial 16S ribosomal RNA". It matches the Rfam family "Bacterial small subunit ribosomal RNA", at positions 28 to 507 of the family's 1533-position model. The record is from RNAcentral.
GACGAACGCUGGCGGCGUGCUUAACACAUGCAAGUCGAACGGAAAGGCCCUGCUUUUGUGGGGUGCUCGAGUGGCGAACGGGUGAGUAACACGUGAGUAACCUGCCCUUGACUUUGGGAUAACUUCAUGAAACUGGGGCUAAUACCGGAUAGGAGCUCCCGCUGCAUGGUGGGGGUUGGAAAGUUUCGGCGGUUGGGGAUGGACUCGCGGCUUAUCAGCUUGUUGGUGGGGUAGUGGCUUACCAAGGCUUUGACGGGUAGCCGGCCUGAGAGGGGGACCGGCCACAUUGGGACUGAGGUAAGGCCCAGAAUCCUACGGGAGGCAGCAGGGGGGAAUAUUGCACAAUGGGCGGAAGCCUGAGGCAGCAACGCCGCGUGCGGGAUGACGGCCUUCGGGGUGUAAACCGCUUUCGCCUGUGACGAAGCGUGAGUGACGGUAAUGGGUAAAGAAGCACCGGCUAACUACGUG